UACGUAGGGUGCGAGCGUUGUCCGGAAUUAUUGGGCGUAAAGGGCUCGUAGGCGGUCUGUCGCGUCGGGAGUGAAAACUUACAGCUUAACUGUGAGCGUGCUUCCGAUACGGGCAGACUUGAGGUAUUCAGGGGAGAACGGAAUUCCUGGUGUAGCGGUGAAAUGCGCAGAUAUCAGGAGGAACACCGGUGGCGAAGGCGGUUCUCUGGGAAUAUCCUGACGCUGAGGAGCGAAAGUGCGGGGAGCGAACAGG
This 253-nucleotide ribosomal RNA is filed under the name uncultured bacterium. RNAcentral's name for it is "partial 16S ribosomal RNA". It matches the Rfam family "Bacterial small subunit ribosomal RNA", at positions 524 to 776 of the family's 1533-position model. The record is from RNAcentral.